AACGAACGCUGGCGGCAUGCCUUAUACAUGCAAGUCGAACGCGAAAGCACUUUCGGGUGUUAGUAGAGUGGCAAACGGGUGAGUAACGCGUGGGAAUAUACCUUAUAGUACGGAAUAGCCUCGGGAAACUGGGAUUAAUACCGUAUACGCCCGUAGGGGGAAAGAUUUAUCGCUAUAAGAUUAGCCCGCGUCAGAUUAGCUUGUUGGUGGGGUAACGGCCUACCAAGGCGACGGUCUGUCGUUGGUCUGAGAGGACGAUCAGCCACAUUGGGACUGGGAUACGGCCCAAACUGCUACGGGAGGCAGGAGUAGGGAAUAGUGGACAAUGGACGAAAGUCUGAUCCAGCAAUGCCGCGUGAGUGAUGAAGGCCUUAGGGUUGUAAAGCUCUUUUAGUAGGGAAGAUAAUGACGGUACCUACAGAAAAAGCACCGGCUAACUCCGUGCCAGCCGCCGCAGUAA
This 460-nucleotide ribosomal RNA is filed under the name uncultured bacterium. RNAcentral describes it as "partial 16S ribosomal RNA". It matches the Rfam family "Bacterial small subunit ribosomal RNA", at positions 29 to 523 of the family's 1533-position model. The record is from RNAcentral.